CAGUAUUUUACUUUUAAUCAACCUAGCUUGUGUCUUAAACUAGCUAGUUGAUCACUAGGUAAUUGCCUAUUAUCUUUUAUUUAUUGUUGUAUAUACAGUUUAAUCCUAAACACCUCAGGCUAAUUUUACCUAUUUUAACUUUUGACACAAAAUCCAUUACAGGAAACUUCCGUUUUUCUCGGACUUUUCCCAUAUCAAUUUCGAGUUUCUCGGACUUUUUCUCUGUCCGUAUCGAUUUUGUAGACAAAAAUGUCUAAUGAAAAUUUUACGAGGUUGACAUUUUCAAAAAGCGGAAGAUUUCAAAUUUUAACGGGAGGGACGGAAGAGGGUCUGAAAAGCGGGAGAUUUUGACUCCCGCCGGAAGAAUCACAUGUAUGUAAUUCAAGUGUGUAACAUUUAAUUAAUUAGUUUUUGCAUUCUAUUUUUUUUUUUAUCAAAGUUUUUUUUUAUUUAAUAGUUCAUUUUUUAUGCAUUCUUAUUUUUGUGCUGUUUGUCAGACCACACUUAGAAAAAGAAGAUGUGCUCACUAACCUAUUGAGCUAGCAUGUUUAAAGUAAGAAUGGGGUGUGUCAAUAUUUCACAAAGCAGGAUAUAUUCUUAUCUUAUUAACAUUUUAUUGUCCUAAAGUAUGUGAUAUUUGUCAUUAGAUAUGAAACAGCCAUCAAUCUGUCAUUAAUGUUGGAAAAAGUUGUAUGACCAAGGUCAUUUUCUAGUUAGUUAUACUUAAUAAGAUCAUAUAUUAAAUAUUGCAUGGAUGCAUCCUGGAAAAAAUAGGUCAGCAUCCAGACAAAAUAAGGUCACUAUCACUUACCUUAACCUUAUUUCUAUAGUCUGGUGGUCAAGUAAAGUUGGUUUUUUUAUUGUCUGCUCCAUCUAUUAGGCAUAAUACAAGUCAACAAUAUUUAGUAUGUUGAUUUACUAUAACAGGUAUAUGUCUACCUGAUACAUGCAAUAUAUCCUUGACCUUGACCUCAGCUUCAACAUAAACUGAUCAUAAAAAUAAUUCAAAUAUUGCAGCAGGUGAAACAUUUUAGUGUGCCAAAUUUUGUAUUAAAAAAAGGACCAAUAUUGAUGGGCAUUCAUGAUAAAUUGCAUUCAGUUUGGUUUAAUGUUAUUGAUUAUAACUUGUAAGUCUUUCAUAAAAAUUUUCACUUUGUUCCAGACACAUUCAAUUUUUGGCUGUCAGAGAUAAUUUUUGAUUGUUUGAUCUUAUAAUAAUCUUCUAUUUUCAACUUUCACAGGCAUUCUAAUUUAACUUUCAACAGAUUCAUGGUUGUGGGCUUAUCAGGUUGCAGGUUUCUAGUCUUAAGCCUGUGGUUUUGUUUUAGUUUUUAAGCUUAUCAAAAUAUAAUUAGUUUUUUUAUAACAGGUGAAAGAUUUGUAUUUUGUUUGUUCUUGAUGCUUUGGAUUUCUUUUGAAUGUAAUACAACAUUUUAAUUUUAUGUACUGUAUUUUUAUCUACUAAUGUCUUACAUGUCUUUAACAGUUCUUUUAGAUUCACACCAAUUUAAUUAUACAAUGUACCAUGUGAUACAUAUUGAGAGUAAUAGUUAUUUCUACUAAAACAGGAGUGAUAUAUUCAUUUAAAUAGUUCAUCACAGGACAUGUUUGGUUUGCAAAUGGACAAUCUGAAUAGAAUGUUUUAUUUUUAUGUUUGUUUUGACUAUCAUUAGAGAAGCCAUCCAUAAAGCAAAAACUUUGAGCUGAUUCAUAGUAAUUGCAGUAAAGCUAAUAACAGGUUUUACAUGCUUCCCUGAUAACAGUAAAAACCCUGGAAUUUCAUUUCAAGUCAUCCAGUCCUGGAAAAAUUCUAGGUAUAUUUCUUUUUGCAAUUCCACAUCCAUUCCAGAAUAUAAUCCAUGUCAUUUCAUCAUUUCAUAGUUCACACCAUGGUCUUCUCAUAAAUUAGUAAGUAUAUUAAUUUCAAACUUGCAAAGAUAUUCCUUCAGGGAUUUAACCCACCUUUUUUGUGAUGUUGUGUUGAUUUUUUAUUUCUUAUAAUCACCAGGAUCUUGGAAGCAUUGAAAAAUUUAAGGAAUUUCUCAUAAAUAUGGCCACUAGCUAGGUACUUUUUUAGGUCCAAUGAACAAGUCCAAAAAUCACAGAACUACCCUUGUUAGUUGAAAUUAUAAAUGGCAUAUUUCUUGCAAUGUUCUGAAGUCCCAUUACUUUGGUGCUGAUUUACAAACUAAUAUGGAGUACCUGUAUUUCUAUUUACAUGGGAUCCUCUAUAUAGAUGUUCUGAUGGUCAUUAAACAACACACUGAAUCAAUACGACAAAUGUGAGUGUUAAAAGACAUUAGUACUUUUAUUUUUUAUUCCUUUCCAAUUUGUUGCAAGUGUGUUAACAAUGGAUAUUUUUUCAUUGGAUCAUAUUACAAUAAGCCUAUAGAUUUAUCAGAGUAAUAUUUAUGUCAGACUUGAUAUGACUUCCUCUAGCUUUACACAGUCAUAGAUAUUCAAAUUACAUUUCUUUAUAUAGAUAAAGAGGGAGAUCCCAUGAAUAUUGUAUGAUUUUUGUAAAUUAGAUAUCAGCAUUUGUUGGUACAUUAAUAUGUAUAUAAUGUUACUCAAAUAUACAAUCAAAUAAUAUAUCACCGGUAAACUUAAUUUUUUGCAUGAAUCUAAUUGUUUUUGUACCUUGUUUUUUUUUCCCUUCAAAUCAACCAGGUAAAACUCAAGUUUUGUUAAUAUCUAAGAUAUCUUUUAAGAAACUAAGCAGUAGAUUCCUGAAUAAUGAUUUAUUAAAUACAUGUAUAAUGAUUACAAUUGUAUUCAAUUAAUCGGGUGUCAUUGUAGCUCACUUGUUUGGUACCACCUGACCACAUCUUUUUGAAAUUUUAGCAGUGUCAUGGAUCAUAAAAUACAGGUCAAGUUCGAUUUGGAUGGUUUUAAAAUUUACUGUUCAAGAGUUGUUUCCCUUAGUUAUUUAAAAAUUUUGAUGUAUUUGGUUUCCAGUUGACAAUGAAAGUGCUGUUUGACAAAAUCUGUAUACAUUUUUAAACACAUUGUUAUGAAACAUAAAAUAUACAGGUCACAAUCGAUUUGAAUUUUGAUUUUGGAUUUACAGUUAGAUAGUUUUUUUUUCUGCAAGCAGAGGUAUCCUUGAUAACUAGAUCAUCUAAGAUGGUCUUAAUUUUGUGCACAUUGUAAAUAUUGUUAAACAUGACUAAUGUUAUAUAUUAAAGUUAUAGUGACUUCGUAGAUGAUUACCACUAUGGAUUGAUAGUCUGUUCUGGUUUAUUUAAAAUUAAACAAGUAUAUGAUUUGCUCUUGUUUUACUCUAGUUGGAACAUAGACUAGGGACAGAUUCAGAUGUAGAACAUUGCAUAUAAAUAGUAUAAAGAGAACUACAUAAUUCAAACAAUUAUUUUAAUUUGAAUAUGGAAAAAUAUAAAAAUGAGUGUAUUGAUGCAUCAUAUUAUUUCUAAUUUUUUCUAAAAAAAUAAGCUACAUCAAAAACAUUGUGAUAAACUUUCUUGCUGUUUAUGUUAUUACUUAUCGAUACUACAUGCCUUAAUUUAUGUGUUUAUAGGUGUGUAUGUGGAGCUAUAUAUAUAUAUAUAUUAAUGAUAAAUACUUAAUUAUUGAUGAAGAAUUUCAAAUGUUGGUGUACGUGUUAAGAAAAGUGAAAAUGAAACAUGGUACAGUUGUUUGUGUUCAUCAUAUGUUACACCAAAACUUAUGGUAGUUAACUAAUGUUCUUGCCACUGGUCAAUUCUAUUUUUAAUUGUCAAUCUUGUGCAUCUGAAGACACAGGUUGAAGACUAUUCCAAAAACAUAUUGUGCACACUGAAAUCAAUAUUAUACCCUGCUCAUUUCAGUUGACUAUUCACAAUUAAAUUUCAACACAUUGUGGUGUUGUGGCCCAACUGGUUUUAAGAGCAGAAACAACUUAGUUUUUUUCUCUUUUCUUUUCUUUAAAUUAUCUUCAGAUGGACUAGAAUGACAUCACCAAAUAUCCUUAUAAAAUUGAAGUCAGGUAAAAUGGCAAUCGGAGAGAUGCUAUGAAGAAGAGAUCUGUCCUGUUAAACUAAUAAAUGUAGAACUUAUCAAUAGGUGUAAAAUGGUGUAAAAAUUAAUAUUUUUUCAUUUGUAAUAAAAAAUGAGAAAUUGAAAAUUUUAACUGCCUAAACAACUUGUAGAUGAUCAGUGUGGUAUAUAAUUGUACUUACUGUAAAAUGUGUCACAUUUGCUCACUUUAGACUUACAUGCUUUAACCAAUUCUCAUAAAAUAUGAAAUAUUGUGAGAGAGCACUUUGUAUACUAUAAUAUGCUUUGUAUGAUUGUGAUUCACCUCAUAUCAUGUAUUUAUUUGGGAAGUGUUACCCACGAGUUUUUAUAUGUUAAUUGUUUAAUCACGUUAUAUCAUUGUUUGUUCCAUUUUGUUGUGCAUUUGUUAAAUUUCAUGACUUGCAUUUGAUGAAAUAAACUGAUUUUCAAAUGG
Molecule: long non-coding RNA, 4447 nt
Organism: Mytilus californianus (California mussel)
Lineage: Eukaryota; Metazoa; Mollusca; Bivalvia; Mytilida; Mytilidae
Exons: 2
Source: RefSeq, a predicted model, not a curated record